GCGGGAGUGGCGGAAUUGGCAGACGCGCUAGACUUAGGAUCUAGUAUCUACCGAUGUGGGGGUUCAAGUCCCUUCUCCCGCACCA
This 85-nucleotide transfer RNA is filed under the name Bacillota bacterium. Its description in RNAcentral is "tRNA-Leu". It matches the Rfam family "tRNA". Rfam says of the family: Transfer RNA (tRNA) molecules are approximately 80 nucleotides in length. Their secondary structure includes four short double-helical elements and three loops (D, anti-codon, and T loops). The record is from RNAcentral. Lineage: Bacteria; Bacillati; Bacillota. RNAcentral also lists the same sequence under 1 other name.